This 788-nucleotide ribosomal RNA is filed under the name Variovorax paradoxus. RNAcentral's name for it is "bacterial SSU rRNA". It matches the Rfam family "Bacterial small subunit ribosomal RNA", at positions 28 to 776 of the family's 1533-position model. The record is from RNAcentral. Lineage: Bacteria; Pseudomonadati; Pseudomonadota; Betaproteobacteria; Burkholderiales; Comamonadaceae.
GAUGAACGCUGGCGGCGUGCCUAACACAUGCAAGUCGAGCGAGGGUUUGCUCAGUAUUGAGUAUUCUAAAACUAGAAUGUUCAAUUCUGAGCAAAACCAAGCGGCGGACGGGUGAGUAACGCGUGGGUAACCUGCCCUAUACACAUGGAUAACAUACUGAAAAGUUUACUAAUACAUGAUAAUAUAUAUUUGCGGCAUCGCAGAUAUAUCAAAGUGUUAGCGGUAUAGGAUGGACCCGCGUCUGAUUAGCUAGUUGGUGAGAUAACGGCCCACCAAAGCGACGAUCAGUAGCCGGUCUGAGAGGAUGAACGGCCACAUUGGGGCUGAGACACGGCCCAGACUCCUACGGGAGGCAGCAGUGGGGAAUCUUCCACAAUGGGCGAAAGCCUGAUGGAGCAACGCCGCGUGAGUGAAGAAGGUCUUCGGAUCGUAAAGCUCUGUUGCACGGGACGAAAACCGGGUUUGAGAAUAUUGAACCCGGGUGACGGUACCGAGCGAGGAAGCCACGGCUAACUACGUGCCAGCAGCCGCGGUAAUACGUAGGUGGCGAGCGUUGUCCGGAAUUAUUGGGCGUAAAGGGAGCGCAGGCGGACAUAUAAGUCCAUCUUAAAAGUGCGGGGCUCAACCCCGUGAGGGGAUGGAAACUGUAUGCCUUGAGUGCAGGAGAGGAAAGCGGAAUUCCCAGUGUAGCGGUGAAAUGCGUAGAUAUUGGGAGGAACACCAGUGGCGAAGGCGGCUUUCUGGACUGUAACUGACGCUGAGGCUCGAAAGCCAGGGGAGCGAACGGG